This is a long non-coding RNA of Nematolebias whitei (Rio pearlfish), 377 nucleotides long. RefSeq lists it as uncharacterized. The transcript has 4 exons. NCBI's taxonomy places the organism in Eukaryota, Metazoa, Chordata, Actinopteri, Cyprinodontiformes, Rivulidae. The record is from RefSeq and is a predicted model, not a curated record.
GGAAAUCGCAGCGGUGAAUUCUCGAACUAAUAAACGUGAAAGGACAAAAGUUUUUCCUUGAAGAAAAUCUCCACAGCUGUCAAGACUGCCCACUACUCCCAACUCCAGCUGCCAACUGGUCCUCCUGUCUCCACAGUCUCCUCCUGUACUGGACUGCACAAGAGAUUUACAAAGAAGGCACAGACAAAGAACACAGGGAAUCCAUCCUGAACCUGCCAGCGAGGUGGUGGUGGUGGUGCGAAAGCCCAAAACUGGUGAAAAGAUGUUUGCACUUCACGCUUUACAGAGCUUUCACAGGACCACUUCCAGAUCCUGACAUCCUGGCAUCGGGAGAAAAACUACACCAGCUGGAGUCCCAACCACUUAUCACACUUAUC